This is a long non-coding RNA of Oncorhynchus tshawytscha (Chinook salmon), 443 nucleotides long. The record is from Ensembl. NCBI's taxonomy places the organism in Eukaryota, Metazoa, Chordata, Actinopteri, Salmoniformes, Salmonidae.
CUGAGGCACCCAGGAUCCCAGACCGUCCGGUGAGGGGCACCCAGGAUCCCAGACCAUCUGGUGAGGGGCACCCAGGAUCCCAGACCAUCCGGUGAGGCACCCAGGAUCCCAGACCGUUCGAUGAGGGGCACCCAGGAUCCCAGACCAUCCGUUGAGGCACCCAGGAUCCCGGACCGUCCGCAAGCACCCAGGAUCCCAGACCGUUCGGUGAGGGGCACCCAGGAUCCCAGACCGUUCGGUGAGGCACCCAGGAUCCCAGACCGUCCGGUGAGGCACCCAGACCGUCUGGUGAGGGGCACCCAGGAUCCCGGACCGUCUGGUGAAUUUCACCCAGGAUCCCAGACCGUCUGGUGAAUUUCACCCAGGACCCCAGACCGUCUGGUGAAGGGCACCCAGGAUCCCCUCCCUCUUUGUCAUCUGUCCCCCACAUUAUAGACAGUUUG